Molecule: non-coding RNA, 68 nt
Filed under: Xenorhabdus ehlersii
Lineage: Bacteria; Pseudomonadati; Pseudomonadota; Gammaproteobacteria; Enterobacterales; Morganellaceae
Also listed under: 1 other name
Source: RNAcentral
UAAGGCACGACAUUGCUCACAUUGCUUCCAGUAUUUUUAUUAGCCGGCUCGGGUGCCGGCUACUUUUU